UACGUAGGGUGCGAGCGUUGUCCGGAAUUAUUGGGCGUAAAGAGCUCGUAGGCGGUUUGUCGCGUCGGCCGUGAAAACUUGGGGCUUAACCCCAAGCCUGCGGUCGAUACGGGCAGACUUGAGUUCGGCAGGGGAGACUGGAAUUCCUGGUGUAGCGGUGAAAUGCGCAGAUAUCAGGAGGAACACCGGUGGCGAAGGCGGGUCUCUGGGACGGUACUGACGCUGAGACGCGAAAGCGUGGGGAGCGAACAGG
This 253-nucleotide ribosomal RNA is filed under the name uncultured bacterium. RNAcentral describes it as "partial 16S ribosomal RNA". It matches the Rfam family "Bacterial small subunit ribosomal RNA", at positions 524 to 776 of the family's 1533-position model. The record is from RNAcentral.